This 458-nucleotide ribosomal RNA is filed under the name uncultured bacterium. RNAcentral describes it as "bacterial SSU rRNA". It matches the Rfam family "Bacterial small subunit ribosomal RNA", at positions 30 to 507 of the family's 1533-position model. The record is from RNAcentral.
AUUGAACGCUGGCGGCAGGCCUAAUACAUGCAAGUCGAACGGUAACAUAAAAGAAGCUUGCUUCUUUUGAUGACGAGUGGCGGACGGGUGAGUAAUAUUUGGGAAACUACCUGAUAGAGGGGGACAACAGUUGGAAACGACUGCUAAUACCGCAUAAAGCCUAAGGGUGAAAGCAGCAAUGCGCUAUCAGAUGUGCCCAAACGGGAUUAGCUAGUAGGUGAGGUAAAGGCUCACCUAGGCGACGAUCAGUAGCCGGUCUGAGAGGAUGAACGGCCACAUUGGAACUGAGACACGGUCCAGACUCCUACGGGAGGCAGCAGUGGGGAAUCUUCCGCAAUGGGCGCAAGCCUGACGGAGCAACGCCGCGUGAAGGAAGAAGGCUUUCGGGUUGUAAAGCACUUUCGGAGGGGAGGAAGAAAAUGACGUUACCCUCAGAAGAAGCACCGGCUAACUCCGUG